RNAcentral lists this ribosomal RNA (1140 nucleotides) under Salmonella enterica subsp. enterica serovar Albany. Its description in RNAcentral is "partial 23S ribosomal RNA". It matches the Rfam family "Bacterial large subunit ribosomal RNA", at positions 1093 to 2215 of the family's 2925-position model. The record is from RNAcentral. Lineage: Bacteria; Pseudomonadati; Pseudomonadota; Gammaproteobacteria; Enterobacterales; Enterobacteriaceae.
CCAGGAUGUUGGCUUAGAAGCAGCCAUCAUUUAAAGAAAGCGUAAUAGCUCACUGGUCGAGUCGGCCUGCGCGGAAGAUGUAACGGGGCUAAACCAUGCACCGAAGCUGCGGCAGCGACGCUUAUGCGUUGUUGGGUAGGGGAGCGUUCUGUAAGCCUGUGAAGGUGGCCUGUGAGGGUUGCUGGAGGUAUCAGAAGUGCGAAUGCUGACAUAAGUAACGAUAAAGCGGGUGAAAAGCCCGCUCGCCGGAAGACCAAGGGUUCCUGUCCAACGUUAAUCGGGGCAGGGUGAGUCGACCCCUAAGGCGAGGCCGAAAGGCGUAGUCGAUGGGAAACGGGUUAAUAUUCCCGUACUUGGUGUUACUGCGAAGGGGGGACGGAGAAGGCUAUGUUGGCCGGGCGACGGUUGUCCCGGUUUAAGCGUGUAGGUGUGUGUUCCAGGUAAAUCCGGUUCACUUUAACACUGAGGCGUGACGACGAGGCACUACGGUGCUGAAGCAACAAAUGCCCUGCUUCCAGGAAAAGCCUCUAAGCAUCAGGUAACAUCAAAUCGUACCCCAAACCGACACAGGUGGUCAGGUAGAGAAUACCAAGGCGCUUGAGAGAACUCGGGUGAAGGAACUAGGCAAAAUGGUGCCGUAACUUCGGGAGAAGGCACGCUGACACGUAGGUGAAGUGAUUUACUCAUGGAGCUGAAGUCAGUCGAAGAUACCAGCUGGCUGCAACUGUUUAUUAAAAACACAGCACUGUGCAAACACGAAAGUGGACGUAUACGGUGUGACGCCUGCCCGGUGCCGGAAGGUUAAUUGAUGGGGUCAGCGCAAGCGAAGCUCCUGAUCGAAGCCCCGGUAAACGGCGGCCGUAACUAUAACGGUCCUAAGGUAGCGAAAUUCCUUGUCGGGUAAGUUCCGACCUGCACGAAUGGCGUAAUGAUGGCCAGGCUGUCUCCACCCGAGACUCAGUGAAAUUGAACUCGCUGUGAAGAUGCAGUGUACCCGCGGCAAGACGGAAAGACCCCGUGAACCUUUACUAUAGCUUGACACUGAACAUUGAGCCUUGAUGUGUAGGAUAGGUGGGAGGCUUUGAAGUGUGGACGCCAGUCUGCAUGGAGCCGACCUUGAAAUACCACCCUUUAAUGUUU